GGGAGUUAAAGACUCAACAUCUGAAAUUGAGCCAAGGUCAGAAUCCAUUAAGGCUUCUUCCUUGUCCUUCCAUUCUACACAUUUCAACCACUUAGAAUUUGUGAUCAAGACAAGGGAGCUGAUAGAAUCUUCUAUAUGGCUUAGCUCUCCUUCUAUGGCAUUACUUAACAUGUCAUCCUCAUGGUCUUUAUGACUCCUAUGGUAUGAUCGUUUUGAUGGAUUGCUAGGAUCAUCAUGAGACUGAAAAGGAGAGGGAUAAGAGGGAUCUCUGAGGUCAAGGAUGGAUUUAGAAUUUGUGAACAUGGAAGGGGAGCAG
This 316-nucleotide long non-coding RNA is filed under the name Sorghum bicolor (sorghum). RNAcentral's name for it is "long non-coding RNA (SBIC_LNC016388)". Lineage: Eukaryota; Viridiplantae; Streptophyta; Magnoliopsida; Poales; Poaceae. The record is from RNAcentral.